Molecule: ribosomal RNA, 207 nt
Filed under: uncultured bacterium
Lineage: Bacteria
Description: partial 16S ribosomal RNA
Rfam family: Bacterial small subunit ribosomal RNA
Source: RNAcentral
UCGGAUUGUAGGCUGCAACUCGCCUACAUGAAGCUGGAAUUGCUAGUAAUCGCAGAUCAGAAUGCUGCGGUGAAUACGUUCCCGGGUCUUGUACACACCGCCCGUCACACCAUGGGAGUUGGAAAUGCCCGAAGCCAGUAGUCCAACCUCGUGAGGACGCUGCCGAAGGUAGGAUUGGCGACUGGGGUGAAGUCGUAACAAGGUAUC